AAUAGAUACCCCGGUAGUCCACGCCGUAAACGAUGAGUGCUAAGUGUUGGGGGGUUUCCGCCCCUCAGUGCUGCAGCUAACGCAUUAAGCACUCCGCCUGGGGAGUACGGUCGCAAGACUGAAACUCAAAGGAAUUGACGGGGGCCCGCACAAGCGGUGGAGCAUGUGGUUUAAUUCGAAGCAACGCGAAGAACCUUACCAGGUCUUGACAUCCCGGUGACCACUAUGGAGACAUAGUUUCCCCCUUCGGGGGCAACGGUGACAGGUGGUGCAUGGUUGUCGUCAGCUCGUGUCGUGAGAUGUUGGGUUAAGUCCCGCAACGAGCGCAACCCUUAUUCUUAGUUGCCAUCAUUUAGUUGGGCACUCUAAGGAGACUGCCGGUGAUAAACCGGAGGAAGGUGGGGAUGACGUCAAAUCAUCAUGCCCCUUAUGACCUGGGCUACACACGUGCUACAAUGGACGGUACAAACGGUUGCCAACCCGCGAGGGGGAGCUAAUCCGAUAAAACCGUUCUCAGUUCGGAUUGUAGGCUGCAACUCGCCUACAUGAAGCC
This 553-nucleotide ribosomal RNA is filed under the name uncultured bacterium. RNAcentral's name for it is "bacterial SSU rRNA". It matches the Rfam family "Bacterial small subunit ribosomal RNA", at positions 777 to 1327 of the family's 1533-position model. The record is from RNAcentral.